Molecule: ribosomal RNA, 254 nt
Filed under: uncultured bacterium
Lineage: Bacteria
Description: partial 16S ribosomal RNA
Rfam family: Bacterial small subunit ribosomal RNA
Source: RNAcentral
UACGUAGGGUGCGAGCGUGUCCGGAAUUAUUGGGCGUAAAGGGCUCGUAGGCGGUUUGUCGCGUCGGGCGUGAAAUGCCGGGGCUCAACCCCGGGACUGCGUCCGAUACUUCCGAGCUGGAGGUAGGUAGGGGAGAUCGGAAUUCCUGGUGUAGCGGUGAAAUGACGCAGAUAUCAGGAGGAACACCGAUGGGCGAAGGCAGCCCCCUGGGCUAACACUGACGCUCAUGCACGAAAGCGUGGGGAGCAAACAGG